CCUGUGGCUCAACCACAGUUCGCUUUGGAAACUGAAGAACUAGAGUGCGGGAGAGGUAAGCGGAAUUCCAUAUGUAGCGGUGAAAUGCACAGAUAUAUGGAGGAACACCGGUGGCGAAGGCGGCUUACCAGCCCGAUACUGACGCUCAGUCACGAAAGCGUGGGGAGCAAAUAGGCUUAGAUACCCUAGUAGUCCACGCCGUAAACGUUGAGGACCUGAUGCCGGAGUAUUUCGGUGUCGUAGCUAACGCGUUAAGUCCUCCGCCUGGGUACUACGUUCGCAAGAAUAAAACUUAAAGGAAUUGACGGGGGCCCGCACAAGCAGUGGAGCAUGUGGUUUAAUUCGUCGCUACGCGAAAAACCUUACCAGGGUUUGACAUCCCGCUAAAAGUCUUGGAAACAAGAUUAUAGUUAUAGCGGUGAAAGGUGGUGCAUGGUUGUCGUCAGCUCGUGUCGUGAGAUGUUGGGUUAAGUCCCCUAACGAGCGCAACCCUUGUCUCUAUUUGCCAUCAUUAAGUUGGGAACUAUAGAGAGACUGCCGGUGCAAACCGGAGGAAGAUGGGGAUGACGUCAAAUCAUCAUGCCCCUUAUGCCCUGGGCCACACACGUGCUACAAUGGCCGGUACAGAGAGAAGCAAUCCCGUGAGGAG
This 649-nucleotide ribosomal RNA is filed under the name human gut metagenome. RNAcentral's name for it is "bacterial SSU rRNA". It matches the Rfam family "Bacterial small subunit ribosomal RNA", at positions 601 to 1264 of the family's 1533-position model. The record is from RNAcentral.